This 400-nucleotide ribosomal RNA is filed under the name uncultured bacterium. RNAcentral describes it as "bacterial SSU rRNA". It matches the Rfam family "Bacterial small subunit ribosomal RNA", at positions 356 to 773 of the family's 1533-position model. The record is from RNAcentral.
UGGGAAUCUUCGGCAAUGGGCGCAAGCCUGACCGAGCAACGCCGCGUGAGUGAUGAAGGUUUUCGGAUUGUAAAGCUCUGUCUUCCGGGACGAUAAUGACGGUACCGGAGGAGGAAGCCACGGCUAACUACGUGCCAGCAGCCGCGGUAAUACGUAGGUGGCGAGCGUUGUCCGGAAUUACUGGGCGUAAAGGGCGCGUAGGCGGCCUGUCAAGUCAGAUGUGAAAUCCCCGGGCUUAACCCGGGAACUGCAUUUGAAACUGGCGGGCUUGAGGGCAGGAGAGGAAAGCGGAACUCCCAGUGUAGCGGUGAAAUGCGUAGAUAUUGGGAGGAACACCAGUGGCGAAGGCGGCUUUCUGGACUGUCACUGACGCUGAGGCGCGAAAGCCAGGGGAGCGAAC